Molecule: ribosomal RNA, 503 nt
Filed under: uncultured bacterium
Lineage: Bacteria
Description: partial 16S ribosomal RNA
Rfam family: Bacterial small subunit ribosomal RNA
Source: RNAcentral
AUUGAACGCUGGCGGCAGGCUUAACACAUGCAAGUCGAGAGGGGUGAUGGUGCUUGCACUAUCACUUAGCGGCGGACGGGUGAGUAAUGCUUAGGAAUCUGCCUAUUAGUGGGGGACAACAUCUCGAAAGGGAUGCUAAUACCGCAUACGUCCUACGGGAGAAAGCAGGGGAUCACUUGUGACCUUGCGCUAAUAGAUGAGCCUAAGUCGGAAUAGCUAGUUGGGGGGGUAAAGGCCUACCAAGGCGACGAUCUGUAGCGGGUAUGAGAGGAUUGUCCGCCUCACUGGGACUGAGACACGGCCCCGACUUCUACGGGAGGCAGCAGUGGGGAAUUUUGGACAAUGGGGGGAACCCUGAUCCAGCCAUGCCGCGUGUGUGAAGAAGACCUUAUGGUUGUAAAGCACUUUAAGCGAGGAGGAGGCUCUUUUGGUUAAUACCCAAGAUGAGUGGACGUUACUCGCAGAAUAAGCACCGGCUAACUCUGUGCCAGCUGCCGCCGCGG